This 299-nucleotide long non-coding RNA is filed under the name Phaseolus vulgaris (common bean). RNAcentral describes it as "long non-coding RNA (PVUL_LNC003497)". The record is from RNAcentral. Lineage: Eukaryota; Viridiplantae; Streptophyta; Magnoliopsida; Fabales; Fabaceae.
CUUGUUUCACGCCCGCACUUCACGCUUUAAUAAAGUUUUAUUGAACUCUGACUCACGUUGCCUCCACUACUACUGCCAACGUCGUUGCCACCACUGCUAUCACCGUUGUUGUCGUCGCCACAUUGCCGCCCCAACUUCGUUAGGUUAGUUUUUAUUUUUAAAUAUAUUAAUUUUAAUUAUUAUUUGGUUUACAAUUAUUUAUAUAGAAAAUAAGUUUUAUUAUAUUGUAUUUGGAAUAUAACGUAAUAUGUUUUAAAUUGGGUAAUUGUUAUGUUGAACAUUUUGGUAUUGGAUUCGGG